This 72-nucleotide transfer RNA is filed under the name Sphaerodactylus townsendi. RNAcentral describes it as "tRNA-Ala". It matches the Rfam family "tRNA". Rfam says of the family: Transfer RNA (tRNA) molecules are approximately 80 nucleotides in length. Their secondary structure includes four short double-helical elements and three loops (D, anti-codon, and T loops). Further hydrogen bonds mediate the characteristic L-shaped molecular structure. tRNAs have two regions of fundamental functional importance: the anti-codon, which is responsible for specific mRNA codon recognition, and the 3' end, to which the tRNAs corresponding amino acid is attached (by aminoacyl-tRNA synthetases). tRNAs cope with the degeneracy of the genetic code in two manners: having more than one tRNA (with a specific anti-codon) for a particular amino acid; and 'wobble' base-pairing, i.e. permitting non-standard base-pairing at the 3rd anti-codon position. The record is from RNAcentral. Lineage: Eukaryota; Metazoa; Chordata; Lepidosauria; Squamata; Sphaerodactylidae.
GGGCUUGUGGCUCCAUGGCACAGCAUCUGUUUGGCAUGCAGGAGGCCCCAGGUUCAAUCCCCAGCAACCCCA